RNAcentral lists this ribosomal RNA (255 nucleotides) under uncultured bacterium. RNAcentral describes it as "partial 16S ribosomal RNA". It matches the Rfam family "Bacterial small subunit ribosomal RNA", at positions 524 to 776 of the family's 1533-position model. The record is from RNAcentral.
UACGUAGGGGGCUAGCGUUGUCCGGAAUCAUUGGGCGUAAAGCGCGUGUAGGCGGUCCGGUAAGUCCGCUGUGAAAGCCAGGGGCUCAACCCUUGGAUGCCGGUGGAUACUGUCGGGCUUGAGUACGGAAGAGGCGAGUGGAAUUCCCGGUGUAGCGGUGAAAUGCGCAGAUAUCGGGAAGGAACACCAAUGGCGAAGGCAGCUCGCUGGGACGUUACUGACGCUGAGACGGCGAAAGCGUGGGGAGCAAACAGG